This 399-nucleotide ribosomal RNA is filed under the name uncultured bacterium. Its description in RNAcentral is "partial 16S ribosomal RNA". It matches the Rfam family "Bacterial small subunit ribosomal RNA", at positions 361 to 776 of the family's 1533-position model. The record is from RNAcentral.
AUAUUGCACAAUGGGCGCAAGCCUGAUGCAGCGACGCCGCGUGAGCGAAGAAGGUUUUCGGAUCGUAAAGCUCUGUCCUCUGGGCAGAAAAAAAUGACGGUACCAGAGGAAGCGCCCGCUAACUCCGUGCCAGCAGCCGCGGUAAGACGGAGGGCGCAAGCGUUGUCCGGAAUUACUGGGCGUAAAGCGCGCGCAGGCGGAUGCGGCAAGUCGGAAGUGAAAUACCGGGGCUCAACCCCGGGGCUGCUUCCGAUACUGCUCGUCUAGGGACCGGUAGAGGCUGGUGGAAUUCCCGGUGUAGCGGUGGAAUGCGUAGAGAUCGGGAAGAACACCUGUGGCGAAGGCGGCCAGCUGGGCCGGAUCCGACGCUGAGGCGCGAAAGCGUGGGGAGCAAACAGG